CCUACGGGAGGCAGCAGUGGGGAAUAUUGGACAAUGGGCGCAAGCCUGAUCCCGCAAUGCCGCGUGUGUGAAGAAGGCCUGCGGGUUGUAAAGCACUUUCAGUGGGGAAGAAAGUUCAGAGGUUAAUACCCUCAGAUUUUGACAUUACCCACAGAAGAAGCACCGGCUAACUCCGUGCCAGCAGCCGCGGU
Molecule: ribosomal RNA, 191 nt
Filed under: uncultured bacterium
Lineage: Bacteria
Description: partial 16S ribosomal RNA
Rfam family: Bacterial small subunit ribosomal RNA
Source: RNAcentral